GAUGAACGCUGGCGGCGUGCCUAAUACAUGCAAGUCGAGCGAACAGACGAGGAGCUUGCUCCUCUGACGUUAGCGGCGGACGGGUGAGUAACACGUGGAUAACCUACCUAUAAGACUGGGAUAACUUCGGGAAACCGGAGCUAAUACCGGAUAAUAUAUUGAACCGCAUGGUUCAAUAGUGAAAGACGGUUUUGCUGUCACUUAUAGAUGGAUCCGCGCCGCAUUAGCUAGUUGGUAAGGUAACGGCUUACCAAGGCAACGAUGCGUAGCCGACGUGAGAGGGGGAUAGGCCACACUGGAACGGAACCGCGGUCCAGACUCCUACGGGAGGCCGCAGUAGGGAAUCUUCCGCAAUAGGCGAGAGCCUGACGGAGCAACGCCGCGUGAGUGAUGACGGUCUUCGGAGCGUAAAACUCUGUUAUGAGUGAAGAACAAAUGUGUAAGUAACUAUGCACGUCUUGACGGUACCUGCUCAGAAAGCCCCGGCUAACUACGUG
This 497-nucleotide ribosomal RNA is filed under the name uncultured bacterium. RNAcentral's name for it is "partial 16S ribosomal RNA". It matches the Rfam family "Bacterial small subunit ribosomal RNA", at positions 28 to 507 of the family's 1533-position model. The record is from RNAcentral.